UCAGAGAUGUCAGAAGUUUAUGAGUCUGCUUUAGGAGUAGAAUAUGGGGUUUAAUCCUCUCUCUGAU
This 67-nucleotide transfer RNA is filed under the name Capsala katsuwoni. Its description in RNAcentral is "tRNA-Leu". Lineage: Eukaryota; Metazoa; Platyhelminthes; Monogenea; Capsalidea; Capsalidae. The record is from RNAcentral.